This 228-nucleotide ribosomal RNA is filed under the name uncultured eukaryote. Its description in RNAcentral is "partial small subunit ribosomal RNA". It matches the Rfam family "Eukaryotic small subunit ribosomal RNA", at positions 1208 to 1456 of the family's 1831-position model. The record is from RNAcentral.
GGAAAACUUACCAGGUCCAGACAAAAGGAGGAUUGACAGAUUGAGAGCUCUUUCUUGAUUUUUUGGGUGGUGGUGCAUGGCCGUUCUUAGUUGGUGGAGUGAUUUGUCUGGUUAAUUCCGUUAACGAACGAGACCACAGCCUGCUAAAUAGUCCGGAUUGUACUUUACAGUCUAGGGCUUCUUAGAGGGACACCGAGUUACCAAGCUCGGGGAAGUUUGUGGCGAUAA